RNAcentral lists this ribosomal RNA (476 nucleotides) under uncultured bacterium. Its description in RNAcentral is "bacterial SSU rRNA". It matches the Rfam family "Bacterial small subunit ribosomal RNA", at positions 355 to 828 of the family's 1533-position model. The record is from RNAcentral.
UGAGGAAUAUUGGACAAUGGGCGGAAGCCUGAUCCAGCCAUGCCGCGUGCAGGACGACGGCGCUACGCGUUGUAAACUACUUUUGUUCGGGAACAACUAGCCCUACGCGUAGGGCUUUGAGGGUACCGUUCGAAUAAGCAUCGGCUAACUCCGUGCCAGCAGCCGCGGUAAUACGGAGGAUGCGAGCGUUAUCCGGAUUUAUUGGGUUUAAAGGGUGCGCAGGCGGCUCCCUAAGUCAGCGGUGAAAUUUUCCGGCUCAACCGGGACAGCGCCGUUGAUACUGGGGGGCUUGAGCGCGAGCGAGGCUGGCGGAAUGCGCGGUGUAGCGGUGAAAUGCAUAGAUAUCGCGCAGAACUCCGAUUGCGAAGGCAGCCGGCCAGCUCGCCGCUGACGCUCAGGCACGACAGCGUGGGGAUCAAACAGGAUUAGAUACCCUGGUAGUCCACGCCGUAAACGAUGAGCGCUCGCUGCUCGGG